AUGUCCGAGGAAUCACUUGUGCAUGUUGUCUCUAGUGAGGAGGAGGCAAGAGAAAGGAAAAGGAAAAAGAACAAGAGGCCAAGAGCCAAUGCUCCUGUUAGGAUGUCAUCCGAUGUUUGGGCCCAUUUUCACAAGGUCAGGGAGCCAUGUGAGAAGACUGGAGAGAUUGUGUUGAAGGCUGUUUGUAAUUAUUGUAGCGACAAGAAGUAUGCGUAUACGCAAGGUGGCAGCACCUCAACUAUUGGAAGGCAUUUAAAAUGUGAGGGUUACAAGUCCAAGAUGGCUAGGGAUGCCAUCCAAACAACUCUUGAAUUGCGCAAAAUCAAUGGUACAACAAGUGGUCCAACAAUGCACCCCUCUAUUGAGUACAACCAAGGAAUCAUCAAGGAUCUUAUUGCUAAGAUGAUAUGUGUGCAUGAGUAUUCAUUUAGAAUGGUUGAACAUGAGUGGUUCAACAUUCUAAUGAAGUGCAUGAAUCCAAAUUAUAAACCCAUUGGAAGGAAGGCAAUACGAGCUGAGUGCAUGAGGGUCUACAGGAAAGAAAAAGAUGUGCUUAAAUCUGUCCUAAAGUGUGUGAGCUCCAUAUGUCUAACUACAGAUUUGUGGACAAGCAACCAAACCUUAUCUUACAUGUGUGUGGUUGCACACUAUAUAGAUGUGAAUUGGAAGAUGCAAACCCGUGUUCUUGCUUUCAUAGAGUUGGAUCCUCCUCACUCUGGAAAUGUCAUUGCAGAUGCUCUCUAUGCGUGUGUGACAGAAUGGAAUAUUGAGACCAAAAUUAUGUCUGUGACACUUGACAAUGCUUCAAACAAUGAUGGUGCGAUCGAUGCUUUGAAGGCCAAGUUCUUGUUUCGGAUAGGUAUGCUUGUAUGCCUUUCGUUUUUGCUCAUAUGCUUGUUGCUAUGCUCAUAUAGAAGCUCUUUCUGCUCAUAUGUUUGA
RNAcentral lists this ribosomal RNA (939 nucleotides) under Triticum aestivum (bread wheat). Its description in RNAcentral is "partial small subunit ribosomal RNA". The record is from RNAcentral. Lineage: Eukaryota; Viridiplantae; Streptophyta; Magnoliopsida; Poales; Poaceae.